UGGGGAAUAUUGGACAAUGGGCGCAAGCCUGAUCCAGCCAUGCCGCGUGAGUGAUGAAGGCCCUAGGGUUGUAAAGCUCUUUCACCGGUGAAGAUAAUGACGGUAACCGGAGAAGAAGCCCCGGCUAACUUCGUGCCAGCAGCCGCGGUAAUACGAAGGGGGCUAGCGUUGUUCGGAUUUACUGGGCGUAAAGCGCACGUAGGCGGACUAUUAAGUCAGGGGUGAAAUCCCGGGGCUCAACCCCGGAACUGCCUUUGUUACUGGUAGUCUUGAGUUCGAGAGAGGUGAGUGGAAUUCCGGGUGUAGAGGUGAAAUUCGUAGAUAUUCGGAGGAACACCAGUGGCGAAGGCGGCUCACUGGCUCGAUACUGACGCUGAGGUGCGAAAGCGUGGGGAGCAAACAGG
This 404-nucleotide ribosomal RNA is filed under the name Actinomycetes bacterium. Its description in RNAcentral is "Actinobacteria bacterium partial 16S ribosomal RNA". It matches the Rfam family "Bacterial small subunit ribosomal RNA", at positions 355 to 776 of the family's 1533-position model. Lineage: Bacteria; Bacillati; Actinomycetota; Actinomycetes. The record is from RNAcentral.